RNAcentral lists this ribosomal RNA (432 nucleotides) under uncultured bacterium. RNAcentral describes it as "bacterial SSU rRNA". It matches the Rfam family "Bacterial small subunit ribosomal RNA", at positions 36 to 477 of the family's 1533-position model. The record is from RNAcentral.
GGCCGCGGGAAUUCGAUUCAGGCCUAACACAUGCAAGUCGAACGGCACCCACCUCCGGGUGGAAGCGAGUGGCGAACGGCUGAGUAACACGUGGAGAACCUGCCCCCUCCCCCGGGAUAGCCGCCCGAAAGGACGAGUAAUACCGGAUUCCCCGGGGUGCCGCAUGGCGCCCCGGCUAAAGCCCCGACGGGAGGGGAUGGCUCCGCGGCCCAUCAGGUAGACGGCGGGGUGACGGCCCACCGUGCCGACAACGGGUAGCCGGGUUGAGAGACCGACCGGCCAGAUUGGGACUGAGACACGGCCCAGACUCCUACGGGAGGCAGCAGUGGGGAAUCUUGCGCAAGGGGGGGAACCCUGACGCAGCGACGCCGCGUGCGGGAAAGAGGCCUUCGGGUCGUAAACCGCUUUCAGCAGGGAAGAGUCAAGACUGCA